Molecule: ribosomal RNA, 436 nt
Filed under: uncultured bacterium
Lineage: Bacteria
Description: bacterial SSU rRNA
Rfam family: Bacterial small subunit ribosomal RNA
Source: RNAcentral
AGCGAACGCUGGCGGCAGGCUUAACACAUGCAAGUCGAACGGGCGUAGCAAUACGUCAGUGGCAGACGGGUGAGUAACGCGUGGGAACGUACCUUUUGGUUCGGAACAACACAGGGAAACUUGUGCUAAAUACCGGAUAAGCCCUUACGGGGAAAGAUUUAUCGCCGAAAGAUCGGCCCGCGUCUGAUUAGCUAGUUGGUGAGGUAAUGGCUCACCAAGGCGACGAUCAGUAGCUGGUCUGAGAGGAUGAUCAGCCACACUGGGACUGAGACACGGCCCAGACUCCUACGGGAGGCAGCAGUGGGGAAUAUUGGACAAUGGGGGCAACCCUGAUCCAGCCAUGCCGCGUGAGUGAUGAAGGCCCUAGGGUUGUAAAGCUCUUUUGUGCGGGAAGAUAAUGACGGUACCGCAAGAAUAAGCCCCGGCUAACUUCGUG